Molecule: long non-coding RNA, 1250 nt
Organism: Alosa sapidissima (American shad)
Lineage: Eukaryota; Metazoa; Chordata; Actinopteri; Clupeiformes; Clupeidae
Exons: 5
Source: RefSeq, a predicted model, not a curated record
UUCAAUUGAUAUUGAUUAUUAAUCACGUUUCCCCACCUUGAUGACACCUCAUAUUUGAACUUUCUCAGCCUCGAUAGUCUCACAACUCACAUAAGAAUGUAACAAAAGUUUGCCAACUUUAGCCAGCUAACCUUCACGAAACUUGAACCAAUUUUUUCAGUAACAUUAAGCUAAAACUUAACUAGCGCAGUAUCGAUAGCAUAGUUAACUUAACUACGACUCCUUCGGCAGUGAAAAAUCUAAAUGAUGUCUGGUUGGUCAUUCAACGGCACAAUGCAUUGAAAGACUUAACGUUAAAGUUUCACAUUAACUAAGGAAACAUGAGAGCUCGGCGAGGGAUAGAGCGUCCACAGACGGGACCGAACAGCAUGCUACACAUCGAUUGACAGAUCUGAGUAGCAGCAGCUAGCGUACUGUGGAAACUUUAUGAUGUCCAAGUUGGUGAAAUCUCUUUGCCUGUGAAUAGAACGCCAUCAGCAACUAUGGAGGACAAUGCAUGCAUGGUUUUAAAAAGUUUGAGUUCUGAAAUCAGUUGAUAAUGAGAUAUGGAUGGUAUCUUUCAAAAUAUGGUAGCCUACAUGCUGUCUAAUACUCCCCCCUUGUACUCCACCCCACCCCAGUAGUGUUAGGAGGCUCGUAGACAGGUGUCUUAAGGGAAGUCAGCCAUCCAGUACAAAUCAAGCUAGAGAAAGCCUGAAGUAUUGAUCACAGAUGUCAGAUUGUGUCUUCCUCAUCGUAUAACACUUCUUUCAAUCAGACCGUGGUUAGCAUCUGAACUGAGCCGCUUUACGAAGCAACGAUCCACCAUCACCGAACACAAAGGAGAAAUUUGGGGUUCAUCUGAGGUAGCAUCUCCCUGCCGCCCCAUAAAAAUUGACUGGUGCCUUAUGAGAAGGCUGCCUGCCACUGGUGCUGCUGACGUGCGUAGCCUACUCCGCUGAAGAGAUGGGCUGAUCCAUGGCCCCGUUAUUUUUACAUAAUCACUGAGUGGGAGGCUGGUGCUGAGAGAAGGGGGCUCAAGCAGUGGGCGAGAGAGACAGAGAGAGAGAGAGAGAGAGAGAGAGUUCGGAGCCACUGAGAUGUGUGGGCAGACACCCUCAACAAAUGGAUACCAGUGCCUCAGCAUCUCAGUGUAGGGGAGGAAACUAUAAAAAAAGGGAGUUAUGUAAAUACUCUUCAAAGCAUUGGUGACACACACACACCGGAUAUGGUUAUGAACUCCAGCAAUGCAAAAAUAUCCACAGAUUUUU